GAUGAACGCUGACAGAAUGCUUAACACAUGCAAGUCAACUUGAAUUUGGGUUUUUAACUUAGGUUUGGGUGGCGGACGGGUGAGUAACGCGUAAAGAACUUGCCUCACAGCUAGGGACAACAUUUGGAAACGAAUGCUAAUACCUAAUAUUAUGAUAAUAGGGCAUCCUAUAAUUAUGAAAGCUAUAAGCGCUGUGAGAGCUUUGCGUCCCAUUAGCUAGUUGGAGAGGUAACGGCUCACCAAGGCGAUGAUGGGUAGCCGGCCUGAGAGGGUGAUCGGCCACAAGGGGACUGAGACACGGCCCUUACUCCUACGGGAGGCAGCAGUGGGGAAUAUUGGACAAUGGACCGAGAGUCUGAUCCAGCAAUUCUGUGUGCACGAUGAAGUUUUUCGGAAUGUAAAGUGCUUUCAGUUGGGAAGAAACAAAUGACGGUACCAACAGAAGAAGUGACGGCUAAAUACGUG
RNAcentral lists this ribosomal RNA (465 nucleotides) under uncultured bacterium. RNAcentral's name for it is "partial 16S ribosomal RNA". It matches the Rfam family "Bacterial small subunit ribosomal RNA", at positions 28 to 507 of the family's 1533-position model. The record is from RNAcentral.